This 459-nucleotide ribosomal RNA is filed under the name uncultured bacterium. Its description in RNAcentral is "partial 16S ribosomal RNA". It matches the Rfam family "Bacterial small subunit ribosomal RNA", at positions 338 to 795 of the family's 1533-position model. The record is from RNAcentral.
CCUACGGGAGGCAGCAGUGAGGAAUAUUGGUCAAUGGUCGGGAGACUGAACCAGCCAAGCCGCGUGAGGGAUGAAGGUACAGAGUAUCGUAAACCUCUUUUGUCAGGGAACAAAGGCGGGGACGUGUCCCCGGCUGAGCGUACCUGACGAAAAAGCAUCGGCUAACUCCGUGCCAGCAGCCGCGGUAAUACGGGGGAUGCGAGCGUUAUCUGGAUUUAUUGGGUUAAAGGGGUGCGCAGGCGGUCUGUAAAGUCAGCGGGCAAACCCCGGGGCUCAACCCCGACCCGCCGUUGAAACUGGCAGUCUCGAGUUGGAGAGAGGUAUGCGGAAUGCGCGGUGUAGCGGUGAAAUGCAUAGAUAUCGCGCAGAACUCCGAUUGCGAAGGCAGCAUGCCGGCUCCACACUGACGCUGAGGCACGAAAGCGUGGGUAUCGAACAGGAUUAGAUACCCGAGUAGUC